Phyllostomus discolor (pale spear-nosed bat) is the source of this 388-nucleotide long non-coding RNA. RefSeq lists it as uncharacterized. Lineage: Eukaryota; Metazoa; Chordata; Mammalia; Chiroptera; Phyllostomidae. The record is from RefSeq and is a predicted model, not a curated record. The transcript is spliced from 3 exons.
GAGUAUUUAGCUCAAUUGGCAAGUGAGCAGUAUCCACCUCGGUAUGUAUACGAGCACACGGGAGUAUUGUGAGAGUGAGGACUUUGCUCUCCCAAGUUAUAUCGAUCGACGUGGCUAUUCCUUACCUGAUGUGGCCCACAUCAAAAACCCUUUCUGCCAGCUGGAAUCCUGGAAAGAGAAGGAGAAUGAACACCUGGAGCAGUCUAUCAAUUGAUGGAAAGGUUAAUCGUAUCACAUUAAGUUCAACAAGGGCUUUGCUGAAAUGAACAGGAGCACAAAUGAGUGAUAGUUGUGGGUGCUGCCAUGUUUUUCAUGGGCCUCAAUGCUCUCAUUCUGAUCUGGGAAAAGCAUUAUGUGCAUGGCCCCAUUCCUCAUAGAUCUGAAGAGC